GGAACCAUCAUAACCUAAGUUGUCUGUGCCAUUCCAAAUGGAUGAGAGAAUUGGUGCGUUCAUAUCUAGAAGGGAGAGGUUGAAUGAAUCCAUCAAAUUGUUUAUGGCAUCGAUUCGUCAUUCUUUGAUAGCAGAUAUGACUACAAUGUUGGAGCAUGUUCUCAUGGAAAAUCCUAGUUCUAGUUAGGGCGUGUUGCCGAAACCAUAUGAAAUGGAAAUGCACAAAGUGAAUUUUGAUGCUGCUUGUAAGACAUUGUCAGAGGUUUUAAUAGAAUGGUUUUGGAAGAGAAACAACGGUAAUGCAAAAUGACUAAUGCCAGAUGAUGAGACCGUCUCUUAAAUUUGGAGUGACCAAGAGAGGAAGGAAAUAGAUCCAAAUGGUAAUGGGUUUUGAUGGUCAAACUCUCAAAUUUGUGGAUAGAUGAAAAAUGAGUUGAUAGUCGUCAAUGCGGGCGUUGCAGCAAAGAUGUUAGAGGAGAUCAAGGUCAUGAACCAAACGCUAUGGAUUGGUGGUAAAGAAACAUGAUGCUAGUUUGAACAAGAAAGUGUUGGAAAGUAGAGCGUAAGUCACAUAACCUACCACCUCUUUCAGAGCUUCCAUGUUUGUCUUCAUUAGAACCAUGUCCAACAGAGUUAUCGGGUUUUAUUUUUACAAUACCCUCUUUUUGAAAAAAAAACACUAAAAUACUGGUAUAUUGUUUUCAAAUGGGGGUAUUUUGG
This 720-nucleotide long non-coding RNA is filed under the name Cicer arietinum (chickpea). RNAcentral's name for it is "long non-coding RNA (CARI_LNC003489)". Lineage: Eukaryota; Viridiplantae; Streptophyta; Magnoliopsida; Fabales; Fabaceae. The record is from RNAcentral.